GAGGGUAGAGCUCAGUGGUAGAGUGCAUGCUUAGCAUGCAUGAGCUCCUGGGUUCAACCCCUAGUAUCUCCA
Molecule: transfer RNA, 72 nt
Filed under: Camelus bactrianus (Bactrian camel)
Lineage: Eukaryota; Metazoa; Chordata; Mammalia; Artiodactyla; Camelidae
Also listed under: 2 other names
Rfam family: tRNA
About the family: Transfer RNA (tRNA) molecules are approximately 80 nucleotides in length. Their secondary structure includes four short double-helical elements and three loops (D, anti-codon, and T loops).
Source: Rfam by way of RNAcentral